CCAAGCCAGCACUGUUUAAGGUCCACACAGGCCAGCAACGAUGUGGGCCUUACCUGCUUCUCCAGCUGCAUCUGGAACCAGGCAUCCCCUGAGCUUGAACCCCAGCUACACAGAGCUACUUGCAUUUUUUAACACCUCCUCACUGCCUCAUGGAUCCGUGGAUCCUGUCCAUUUAAUCGCCCACUGCACGUCCACCGCCCACUGCAGUGGACUCAGCAGUGAAUGAGACAGACGCAAUCCCCACCCUCACUGCCUUUCUUCCCGAGACCGUCCUUCUCCCAGGGGCUCCUUUACCCCACCCAGGCUCGCCUCCGGGAACUCCCCGCGAGCCCUCAGCUGACUCGCUCCCUCUCAGCUCCGAGCCAGCGCUGCAGGGAGGGCAGCGGGGAGCCCUGUUGGGGGAGCCGGUGGGGCUCGGCCUGGCUCUCGCUGGGAGACUUCAGCGAGUCCUGGAACCUUUAACUGCAACUCCCUCGCGGCAGGUUUGCUUUGGCUUGUUGUGGUUUCUCUCUUUUGCCGCUCACUUCUAUCAACACCCUUAUUUCUUGGGAGGCACUUUGCAAGAGACCCGAAGGCAGACAAGCGCCCUGACUCCACGAGCUUACAGCCUGAGCGCGGAGACCCCUCACAGGGGACAGCUCUUCAAAGCAGCAAAAAUCCAUUAUAACGGAGGAACAUGACGACCUCCAUAAAGAAAAUUCUGCUUUGGUGUCCAUCAAAAAUGACAGAAGAAAGAGGAAGUUCCAGAACUGGCAGAACUAACCUGCAAUGACAGAAAUCUCAUGAGCGGCUGCCCGGGGCAGAAGGUUAGCCGGAGGAUCAACAGCGAAAGGCACGGGGAGCUUUCUGUGACAGGGGAAUGUUCUAUGUUUUGAUUGGGAUGUGGCUACAAGGGCACACAUUUGUCAAGACUCACCAAAGUGUGUACUUAAAACAUACGCAUUUUUCUGUGCGCAAAUUAUCCUUCCACAAAGUUGAGUAACAACAACAAAAAAGACUUCCUCAAAAUUAGUCUGUGAAACGGUCUAUCUCUUUCAAGUUAGCAGGUUCUCGUGUGGGCGUGACAGAAAUGAGUUCUGAGAUUUAGUAACUAUCAUGAAAAUCUUGAACAGCAGCCAUUUUUAUCUGGUUUUAAUGUACUCAUAUUGCAAGUCAGGAACUUAUUUUGAUUUUUCAACAGAUUCCAGAUUUAACUUUAGAAGCACUUUCAAGCAUGAUUUUAAAG
RNAcentral lists this long non-coding RNA (1225 nucleotides) under Equus caballus (horse). Its description in RNAcentral is "lncRNA (ENSECAG00000045747.1)". The record is from RNAcentral. Lineage: Eukaryota; Metazoa; Chordata; Mammalia; Perissodactyla; Equidae.